Molecule: ribosomal RNA, 497 nt
Filed under: uncultured bacterium
Lineage: Bacteria
Description: partial 16S ribosomal RNA
Rfam family: Bacterial small subunit ribosomal RNA
Source: RNAcentral
GAUGAACGCUGGCGGCGUGCCUAAUACAUGCAAGUCGAGCGAACAGACGAGGAGCUUGCUCCUCUGACGUUAGCGGCGGACGGGUGAGUAACACGUGGAUAACCUACCUAUAAGACUGGGAUAACUUCGGGAAACCGGAGCUAAUACCGGAUAAUAUAUUGAACCGCAUGGUUCAAUAGUGAAAGACGGUUUUGCUGUCACUUAUAGAUGGAUCCGCGCCGCAUUAGCUAGUUGGUAAGGUAACGGCUUACCAAGGCAACGAUGCGUAGCCGACCUGAGAGGGUGAUCGGCCACACUGGAACUGAGACACGGUCCAGACUCAUACGGGAGGCAGCAGUAGGGAAUCUUCCGCAAUGGGCGAAAGACUGACGGAGCAACGCCGCGUGAGUGAUGAAGGUCUUCGGAUCGUAAAACUCUGUUAUUAGGGAAGAACAAAUGUGUAAGUAACUAUGCACGUCUUGAAGGUACCUAAUCAGAAAGCCACGGCUAACUACGUG